RNAcentral lists this ribosomal RNA (253 nucleotides) under uncultured bacterium. RNAcentral's name for it is "partial 16S ribosomal RNA". It matches the Rfam family "Bacterial small subunit ribosomal RNA", at positions 524 to 776 of the family's 1533-position model. The record is from RNAcentral.
UACGUAGGGGGCAAGCGUUGUCCGGAUUUAUUGGGCGUAAAGAGCGUGUAGGCGGCCACACAGGUCAGCUGUGAAAACUCGAGGCUCAACCUCGAGACGUCGGUUGAAACCGUAUGGCUAGAGUCCGGAAGAGGAGAGUGGAAUUCCCGGUGUAGCGGUGAAAUGCGCAGAUAUCGGGAAGAACACCCGUGGCGAAGGCGGCUCUCUGGGACGGUACUGACGCUAAAGCGCGACAGCAUGGGGAGCAAACGGG